GAUAGGAUAUUUUUUCAUUAUCUUCCUACUCAUUAGUAUGAUAUUAGUUAUUUUAUUUAUAUAAGGUAUUAUGUUUUAUCAUUUACUGUAUCAUUUUUAUAUGAUUAUGAUAAACCCCAUAGAUUGAGAAAAUAAUUUUAGGGCCAUAAUGAGAUCAUGCCAGUGAAACCUAAAAUCUUGAUAGCCCCAAUCUAAAAUAUUUUCAAUCGUUGGAUCAUCG
Molecule: long non-coding RNA, 220 nt
Filed under: Elaeis guineensis (African oil palm)
Lineage: Eukaryota; Viridiplantae; Streptophyta; Magnoliopsida; Arecales; Arecaceae
Description: long non-coding RNA (EGUI_LNC074523)
Source: RNAcentral